RNAcentral lists this microRNA (21 nucleotides) under Ornithorhynchus anatinus (platypus). Its description in RNAcentral is "oan-miR-1422k-5p". Lineage: Eukaryota; Metazoa; Chordata; Mammalia; Monotremata; Ornithorhynchidae. The record is from miRBase by way of RNAcentral.
AAGUCCAGACAAGUGUUUUCU